CCACCCUUUGUGAACGUACCUCUGUUGCUUUGGCGGCUCCGGCCGCCAAAGGACCUUCAAACUCCAGUCAGUAAACGCAGACGUCUGAUAAACAAGUUAAUAAACUAAAACUUUCAACAACGGAUCUCUUGGUUCUGGCAUCGAUGAAGAACGCAGCGAAAUGCGAUAAGUAAUGUGAAUUGCAGAAUUCAGUGAAUCAUCGAAUCUUUGAACGCACAUUGCGCCCCUUGGUAUUCCGGGGGGCAUGCCUGUUCGAGCGUCAUUACAACCCUCAAGCUCUGCUUGGAAUUGGGCACCGUCCUCACUGCGGACGCGCCUCAAAGACCUCGGCGGUGGCUGUUCAGCCCUCAAGCGUAGUAGAAUACACCUCGCUUUGGAGCGGUAGGCGUCGCCCGCCGGACGAACCUUCUGAACUUUCUCAAGGUGACC
RNAcentral lists this ribosomal RNA (429 nucleotides) under Lasiodiplodia theobromae. RNAcentral describes it as "eukaryotic LSU rRNA". The stretch from base 109 to 262 matches the Rfam family "5.8S ribosomal RNA". Lineage: Eukaryota; Fungi; Ascomycota; Dothideomycetes; Botryosphaeriales; Botryosphaeriaceae. The record is from RNAcentral.